Dermacentor andersoni is the source of this 104-nucleotide small nuclear RNA. Lineage: Eukaryota; Metazoa; Arthropoda; Arachnida; Ixodida; Ixodidae. The record is from RefSeq and is a predicted model, not a curated record.
GCACUUGCGAAGUAGAUAUGCUAAAAUUGGAACGAUACAGAGAAGACUAUAGCAUGGCUCCUGAGCAAGGAUGACACGCACUCAGUGCACGGUACACGGGCGUU